Molecule: ribosomal RNA, 468 nt
Filed under: uncultured bacterium
Lineage: Bacteria
Description: partial 16S ribosomal RNA
Rfam family: Bacterial small subunit ribosomal RNA
Source: RNAcentral
GACGAACGCUGGCGGCGUGCUUAACACAUGCAAGUCGAACGGAAAGGCCCUGCUUUUGUGGGGUGCUCGAGUGGCGAACGGGUGAGUAACACGUGAGUAACCUGCCCUUGACUUUGGGAUAACUUCAGGAAACUGGGGCUACUACCGGAUAGGAGCUCCUGCUGCAUGGUGGGGGUUGGAAAGUUUCGGCGGUUGGGGAUGGACUCGCGGCUUAUCAGCUUGUUGGUGGGGUAGUGGCUUACCAAGGCUUUGACGGGUAGCCGGCCUGAGAGGGUGACCGGCGACAUUGGGACUGAGGUACGGCCCAGACUCCUACGGGAGGCAGCAGUGGGGAAUAUUGCACAAUGGGCGGAAGCCUGAUGCGGAAGCGCCGCGUGCGGGAUGACGGCCUUCGGGUUGUAAACCGCUUUCGCCUGUGACGAAGCGUGAGUGACGGUAAUGGGUAAAGAAGCACCGGCUAACUACGUG